RNAcentral lists this microRNA precursor (83 nucleotides) under Danio rerio (zebrafish). RNAcentral's name for it is "mir-17 microRNA precursor family". It matches the Rfam family "mir-17 microRNA precursor family". Rfam says of the family: This family represents the microRNA (miRNA) precursor mir-17, family, which includes mir-20, mir-91, and mir-103. miRNAs are transcribed as ~70nt precursors (modelled here) and subsequently processed by the Dicer enzyme to give a ~22nt product. In this case the mature sequence comes from the 3' arm of the precursor. The record is from Rfam by way of RNAcentral. Lineage: Eukaryota; Metazoa; Chordata; Actinopteri; Cypriniformes; Danionidae.
CCAGCAGUAUUAAAGUGCUUAUAGUGCAGGUAGUUUGUGAAAAUCCUGAUCUACUGCAAUGUGAGCACUUCAAGUACUUCUAG